Molecule: unclassified non-coding RNA, 17 nt
Filed under: Mus musculus (house mouse)
Lineage: Eukaryota; Metazoa; Chordata; Mammalia; Rodentia; Muridae
Description: oocyte_clustered_small_RNA3287
Source: RNAcentral
UACAGAGAGGCCACCCG